CCUACGGGUGGCAGCAGUGGGGAAUAUUGGACAAUGGGGGGAACCCUGAUCCAGCCAUGCCGCGUGUGUGAAGAAGGCCCUCGGGUUGUAAAGCACUUUCAGUGAGGAAGAACGCCUGGUGGUUAAUACCCAUCAGGAAAGACAUCACUCACAGAAGAAGCACUGGCUAACUCCGUGCCAGCAGCCGCGGUAAUACGGAGGGUGCGAGCGUUAAUCGGAAUUACUGGGCGUAAAGCGCGCGUAGGUGGCUUGAUAAGCCGGUUGUGAAAGCCCCGGGCUCAACCUGGGAACGGCAUCCGGAACUGUCAAGCUAGAGUGCAGGAGAGGAAGGUAGAAUUCCCGGUGUAGCGGUGAAAUGCGUAGAGAUCGGGAGGAAUACCAGUGGCGAAGGCGGCCUUCUGGACUGACACUGACACUGAGGUGCGAAAGCGUGGGUAGCAAACAGGAUUAGAUACCCUUGUAGUC
This 465-nucleotide ribosomal RNA is filed under the name Vreelandella stevensii. Its description in RNAcentral is "partial 16S ribosomal RNA". It matches the Rfam family "Bacterial small subunit ribosomal RNA", at positions 338 to 795 of the family's 1533-position model. The record is from RNAcentral. Lineage: Bacteria; Pseudomonadati; Pseudomonadota; Gammaproteobacteria; Oceanospirillales; Halomonadaceae.